AAGACUAUACUUUCAGGGAUCAUUUCUAUAGUUUGUUAUUAAACUGCUGGGAGAAUUUGGGUUAGGACUGAAAUCUUUUGCUUAUCCUACUUGAGCAAUCCCUAGA
This 106-nucleotide small nucleolar RNA is filed under the name Mustela putorius furo (domestic ferret). RNAcentral describes it as "Small nucleolar RNA U3". The stretch from base 1 to 41 matches the Rfam family "Small nucleolar RNA U3", at positions 1 to 41 of the family's 219-position model. Lineage: Eukaryota; Metazoa; Chordata; Mammalia; Carnivora; Mustelidae. The record is from Rfam by way of RNAcentral. RNAcentral also lists the same sequence under 1 other name.